UGCAGGAUGAAGUCAUUGGAACAGGACGCUCUCCGAGCACAGAUGGUCCUCAGCAGGUCCCAGGAAGGCCGGGGCACGCGGGGGCCCCUGGAGCGACUGGCCGAGGCCCCUUCCCCUGCGCCCACCCCGUCGCCCACCCCUGUGGAAGACCUCGGCCCCCAGACCAGCACCUCCCCGGGACGCCUGUCACCGGACUUUGCUGAGGAGUUGAGGUCCCUGGAACCAUCUCCCA
This 232-nucleotide long non-coding RNA is filed under the name Pan troglodytes (chimpanzee). Its description in RNAcentral is "long non-coding RNA NONPTRT017303". The record is from RNAcentral. Lineage: Eukaryota; Metazoa; Chordata; Mammalia; Primates; Hominidae.